AGUGAACGCUGGCGGUAGGCCUAACACAUGCAAGUCGAACGGCAGCACAGUAAGAGCUUGCUCUUACGGGUGGCGAGUGGCGGACGGGUGAGGAAUACAUCGGAAUCUACUUUUUCGUGGGGGAUAACGUAGGGAAACUUACGCUAAUACCGCAUACGACCUACGGGUGAAAGCAGCGGAUCUUCGGACCUUGCGCGAUUGUAUGAGCCGAUGUCGGAUUAGCUAGUUGGCGGGGUAAAGGCCCACCAAGGCGACGACCCGUAGCUGGUCUGAGAGGAUGAUCAGCCACACUGGAACUGAGACACGGUCCAGACUCCUACGGGAGGCAGCAGUGGGGAAUAUUGGACAAUGGGCGCAAGCCUGAUCCAGCCAUACCGCGUGGGUGAAGAAGGCCUUCGGGUUGUAAAGCCCUUUUGUUGGGAAAGAAAAGCAGCAGGUUAAUACCCCGCUGUUCUGACGGUACCCAAAGAAUAAGCACCGGCUAACUUCGUG
This 492-nucleotide ribosomal RNA is filed under the name uncultured bacterium. RNAcentral's name for it is "partial 16S ribosomal RNA". It matches the Rfam family "Bacterial small subunit ribosomal RNA", at positions 29 to 507 of the family's 1533-position model. The record is from RNAcentral.